CCCUUAGAUGUCCUGGGCCGCACGCGCGCUACACUGAUGCAUUCAACGAGUCUACCUUGGCCGAGAGGCCUGGGCAACCUUUUAAACGUGCAUCGUGAUAGGGAUAGAUUAUUGCAAUUAUUAAUCUUGAACGAGGAAUUCCUAGUAAACGCAAAUCAUCAAUUCGCAUUGAUUACGUCCCUGCACUUUGUACACACCGCCCGUCGCACCUACCGAUUGAAUGGUCCGGUGAGGACUCGGGAUUUUUACCAGUUUCCUUCAUUGGGAAUUGGUGAGGAGAACUUGUCCAAACCUUAUCAUUUAGAGGAAGGUGAAGUCGUAACA
This 324-nucleotide ribosomal RNA is filed under the name uncultured eukaryote. Its description in RNAcentral is "partial 18S ribosomal RNA". It matches the Rfam family "Eukaryotic small subunit ribosomal RNA", at positions 1470 to 1796 of the family's 1831-position model. The record is from RNAcentral.